GACGAACGCUGGCGGCGUGCUUAACACAUGCAAGUCGAGCGGAAAGGCCCUUUCGGGGGUACUCGAGCGGCGAACGGGUGAGUAACACGUGAGUAACCUGCCCCAGUCUUUUGGGAUAACCCUCGGAAACGGGGGGCUAAUACCGGAUAUUCACUUUGGUCUGCAUGGGCUUUGGUGGAAAGAUUUUUGGUCUGGGAUGGCUCGCGGCCUAUCAGCUUGUUGGUGGGGUGGAUGGCCUACCAAGGCGACGACGGGUAGCCGGCCUGAGAGGGCGACCGGCCACACUGGGACUGAGACACGGCCCAGACUCCUGCGGGAGGCAGCAGUGGGGAAUUUUGGACAAUGGGCGCAAGCCUGAUCCAGCCAUGCCGCGUGCGGGAAGAAGGCCUU
Molecule: ribosomal RNA, 390 nt
Filed under: uncultured bacterium
Lineage: Bacteria
Description: bacterial SSU rRNA
Rfam family: Bacterial small subunit ribosomal RNA
Source: RNAcentral